GACGAACGCUGGCGGCGUGCUUAACACAUGCAAGUCGAACGGAAAGGCCUGCUUUCCCUUGUGGAUUGCGGGUACUCGAGUGGCGAACGGGUGAGUAACACGUGAGUGAUCUGCCCCCAACUUGGGUAUAAGCCUGGGAAACUGGGUCUAAUUCCCGAUAGGACUGCAGGGUGGUGCCUGUGGUGGAAAACGAUUUUCUAGUGGUUGGGGAUGAGCUCGCGGCCUAUCAGCUUGUUGGUGGGGUAAUGGCCUACCAAGGCGGCGACGGGUAGCCGGCCGGAGAGGGUGGACGGCCGCAUUGGGACUGAGAUACGGCGCAGACUCCUACGGGAGGCAGCAGUGGGGAAUAUUGCACAAUGGGCGGAAGCCUGAUGCAGCGACGCCGCGUGGGGGAUGACGGCCUUCGGGUUGUAAACUCCUUUCGACCGCGAGGAAGCCACCUGGUUGGAAGGGUGGUGACGGUAGUGGUAGAAGAAGCACCGGCUAACUACGUG
Molecule: ribosomal RNA, 494 nt
Filed under: uncultured bacterium
Lineage: Bacteria
Description: partial 16S ribosomal RNA
Rfam family: Bacterial small subunit ribosomal RNA
Source: RNAcentral